This is a long non-coding RNA of Spinacia oleracea (spinach), 436 nucleotides long. RefSeq lists it as uncharacterized. The record is from RefSeq and is a predicted model, not a curated record. NCBI's taxonomy places the organism in Eukaryota, Viridiplantae, Streptophyta, Magnoliopsida, Caryophyllales, Amaranthaceae. The transcript has 2 exons.
UUUAGCCUAUGUCAAAAAAAAAAAAAAAACUGGUUGACAUCUCAAUUUUCUUGCCAACUUUUUCCCCCCAAAAAAAUCUAAAAUGUUGGUUAUUAAUUGUUCAGAUUUAUAUUUUUUUUUAGGUUCAUAUGAUCGAAUGUUGAUUAGCCUGCAACAAUGAGGAAAUUGAAACCGUGAAGGUCAAAUAUUGUGUUCAAAUCACACUUCAUAGACACAUUCAAAAGUAUCAUAACUCGAGACUACAUCAAAAGUAAGAUUCAAGAUGGAAAAUAUAGAAAAAGUUAAGAGUAUGAUUUGUUAUCUUGUAAUUCAAGUACAAUUUUACAUAAGCAACGUCUAAGAUGUUAAUUUUUUGGUAAAAUAUGUUAUUUGACAUGUUUUAAUUGCACAUUAUAUGUAAAUAUAUGUUCAAUGUAAUAAGAGUGUAAUACAAUAA